GGAGGAUGGGCCGGCCCAAGCAGGUCGGCUCCGCACUCCCGGGGCGUCUCGUGUUCAUUGCGAACUGAGGCGCACCUAGAGCGUACACGCUGGGACCCGAAAGAUGGUGAACUAUGCCUGGUCAGGACGAAGUCAGGGGAAACCCUGAUGGAGGUCCGUAGCGAUUCUGACGUGCAAAUCGAUCGUCGGAACUGGGUAUAGGGGCGAAAGACUAAUCGAACCAUCUAGUAGCUGGUUCCCUCCGAAGUUUCCCUCAGGAUAGCUGGCGCUCAAAUAUAUAUAUUGCGGUCGGUCUCUAUACGGGACGCGCAAAUUAAAGAGUUUCAUCCGGUAAAGCGAAUGAUUAGAGGCAUUGGGGUCGAAACGACCUCAACCUAUUCUCAAACUUUAAAUGGGUGAGAUCUCCGGCUUACUUGAUAUAUGUACCAUAUAUAUAUAUAUACACGUAUACAUGUGUGUACGCGCGUUACGCAAGUGAUGUGUGUAUGUGUGUGUUUGUGUGUUUGUGUGUGUGUGUGUUUGUAUGUGAAGCCGCGAGAAUUGAAUCAGAGUGCCGAGUGGGCCACUUUUGGUA
Molecule: ribosomal RNA, 574 nt
Filed under: Troglophyes ludovici
Lineage: Eukaryota; Metazoa; Arthropoda; Insecta; Coleoptera; Leiodidae
Description: eukaryotic LSU rRNA
Rfam family: Eukaryotic large subunit ribosomal RNA
Source: RNAcentral